GAUGAAGAACGCAGCGAAAUGCGAUACGUAAUGUGAAUUGCAAAUUCAGUGAAUCAUCGAGUCUUUGAACGCACAUUGCGCCCCCUGGUAUUCCGGGGGGCAUGCCUGUCCGAGCGUCAUUGCUGCCCUCAAGCACGGCUUGUGUGUUGGGCCCCGUCCUCCGAUCCCGGGGGACGGGCCCGAAAGGCAGCGGCGGCACCGCGUCCGGUCCUCGAGCGUAUGGGGCUUUGUCACCCGCUCUGUAGGCCCGGCCGGCGCUUGCCGAUCAACCCAAAUUUUUAUCCAGGUUGACCUCGGAUCAGGUAGGGAUACCCGCUGAACUUAAGCAUAUCAUAAGCGGAGG
RNAcentral lists this unclassified non-coding RNA (343 nucleotides) under soil metagenome. Its description in RNAcentral is "partial contains 5.8S ribosomal RNA, internal transcribed spacer 2, and large subunit ribosomal RNA". The stretch from base 1 to 119 matches the Rfam family "5.8S ribosomal RNA", at positions 35 to 154 of the family's 154-position model. The record is from RNAcentral.